RNAcentral lists this ribosomal RNA (800 nucleotides) under uncultured bacterium. RNAcentral describes it as "bacterial SSU rRNA". It matches the Rfam family "Bacterial small subunit ribosomal RNA", at positions 8 to 803 of the family's 1533-position model. The record is from RNAcentral.
AGAGUUUGAUCCUGGCUCAGGAUGAACGCUAGCGGCAGGCUUAACACAUGCAAGUCGAGGGGCAGCAUGUCCAGCAAUGGAUGAUGGCGACCGGCGGAAGGGUGCGUAACGCGUGAGCAACAUGCCCUAUACAGGGAGAUACACCAGGGAAACUUGGUCUAAUAUCCCAUAGCAUUCAUUGAAGGCAUCUUUAAUGAAUUAAAGCUUCGGUGGUAUAGGAUUGGCCCGCGUGACAUUAGCCAGAUGGUGAGGUAACGGCUCACCAUAGCAAUGAUGUCUAGGGGUUUUGAGAGGAAGGCCCCCCACACUGGGACUGAGACACGGCCCAGACUCCUACGGGAGGCAGCAGUGAGGAAUAUUGGACAAUGGAUGGAAAUCUGAUCCAGCCAUGCCGCGUGCAGGAAGACGGCCUUAUGGGUUGUAAACUGCUUUUAUACGGGAGCAAUAAGGGUUACGAGUAAUCCGAUGAGAGUACUGUAUGAAUAAGGAUCGGCUAACUCCGUGCCAGCAGCCGCGGUAAUACGGAGGAUCCGAGCGUUAUCCGGAAUUAUUGGGUUUAAAGGGUGCGUAGGCGGCCAUUUAAGUCAGCGGUGAAAUUUUGCAGCUUAACUGUAACAGUGCCGUUGAUACUGUUUGGCUAGGAUUUGGUUGUAGUGUGCGGAAUGUGUGGUGUAGCGGUGAAAUGCUUAGAUAUCACACAGAACACCGAUUGCGAAGGCAGCACACUAAGUCAUUAUUGACGCUGAGGCACGAAAGUGUGGGGAUCAAACAGGAUUAGAUACCCUGGUAGUCCACACUGU